GACGAACGCUGGCGGCGUGCUUAACACAUGCAAGUCACGGGGGUCCGGUGGCAACAUCGGGCAACCGGCGAACGGGUGCGUAACACGUGAGCAACCUGCCUAUCUGCGGGGGAUAGCCGGCCCAACGGCCGGGUAAUACCGCAUACGUUCACCGAGGGACAUCCCUUGGUGAGGAAAACUCCGGUGCAGAUAGAGGGGCUCGCGGCCUAUCAGCUAGUUGGUGAGGUAACGGCUCACCAAGGCGACGACGGGUAGCUGGUCUGAGAGGAUGGCCAGCCACAUUGGGACUGCGACACGGCCCAGACUCCUACGGGAGGCAGCAGUGGGGAAUAUUGCGCAAUGGACGAAAGUCUGACGCAGCGACGCCGCGUGUGGGAUGAAGCUCUUCGGGGGUGUAAACCACUGUUGCCCGGGAAGAAUCUCCUGAUUCAUCAGGAUUGACGGUACCGGGUGAGGAAGCACCGGCUAACUCUGUGCCAGCAGCCG
Molecule: ribosomal RNA, 486 nt
Filed under: uncultured bacterium
Lineage: Bacteria
Description: bacterial SSU rRNA
Rfam family: Bacterial small subunit ribosomal RNA
Source: RNAcentral